Molecule: ribosomal RNA, 2249 nt
Filed under: Moraxella oblonga NBRC 102422
Lineage: Bacteria; Pseudomonadati; Pseudomonadota; Gammaproteobacteria; Moraxellales; Moraxellaceae
Description: bacterial LSU rRNA
Rfam family: Bacterial large subunit ribosomal RNA
Source: RNAcentral
GGGUGACGGCGUACCUUUUGUAUAAUGGGUCAGCGACUUAUAUUCUGUAGCAAGCUUAACCGUGUAGGGGAGGCGUAGGGAAACCGAGUCUUAAUAGGGCGUCUUAGUUGCAGGGUAUAGACCCGAAACCGAGUGAUCUAUCCAUGAGCAGGUUGAAAGUGCCGUAACAGGUGCCGGAGGACCGAACCCACUCCCGUUGAAAAGGUAGGGGAUGACUUGUGGAUAGGGGUGAAAGGCUAAUCAAACUCGGUGAUAGCUGGUUCUCCCCGAAAGCUAUUUAGGUAGCGCCUCGGACGAAUACCUUGGGGGGUAGAGCACUGUUUCGGCUAGGGGGUCAUCCCGACUUACCAAACCGAUGCAAACUCCGAAUACCCAAGAGUACUAUCCGGGAGACAGACGGCGGGUGCUAACGUCCGUCGUCAAGAGGGAAACAACCCAGACCGCCAGCUAAGGCCCCAAAUUCCUAGUUAAGUGGGAAACGAUGUGGGAAGGCACAGACAGCUAGGAUGUUGGCUUAGAAGCAGCCAUCAUUUAAAGAAAGCGUAAUAGCUCACUAGUCGAGUCGGCCUGCGCGGAAGAUGUAACGGGGCUCAAACUAGGAGCCGAAGCUGCGGAUUUAAUUGUUUCAAUUAAGUGGUAGGGGAGCGUUGUGUAAGCCUGUGAAGGUGCAUCGUAAGGUGUGCUGGAGGUAUCACAAGAGCGAAUGCUGACGUGAGUAACGACAAAACGGGUGAAAAGCCCGUUCGCCGGAAGACCAAGGGUUCCAGUCCAACGUUAAUCGGGGCUGGGUGAGUCGACCCCUAAGGCGAGGCCGAAAGGCGUAGUCGAUGGGAAAUCGGUUAAUAUUCCGAUACUUGUUUAUGAUGCGAUGGAGGGACGGAGAAGGUUAUGUCAGCCUGGCGUUGGUUGUCCAGGUGGAAGGAUGUAGUUAGGUUUAGUAGGCAAAUCCGCUAGACUAUUAAUGAGAUCUGAUAGCAAGCUAGGUUUACUAGCGAAGUGGCAGAUACCCUGCUUCCAGGAAAAGCUUCUAAGCGAUAGUCAUAAAGAAAUCGUACCCGAAACCGACACAGGUGGUCAGGUAGAGAAUACCAAGGCGCUUGAGAGAACUCUGCUGAAGGAACUAGGCAAAAUGGUACCGUAACUUCGGGAGAAGGUACGCUGCCGAUGGUGAUAAGACUUGCUCUUUGAGCUGUUGGCAGUCGCAGAUACCAGGCUGCUGCAACUGUUUAUUAAAAACACAGCACUCUGCAAACACGAAAGUGGACGUAUAGGGUGUGAUGCCUGCCCGGUGCUGGAAGGUUAAUUGAUGGGGUUAGCGUAAGCGAAGCUCUUGAUCGAAGCCCCAGUAAACGGCGGCCGUAACUAUAACGGUCCUAAGGUAGCGAAAUUCCUUGUCGGGUAAGUUCCGACCUGCACGAAUGGCAUAAUGAUGGCAGCGCUGUCUCCAGCAGAGACUCAGUGAAAUCGAAAUCGCAGUGAAGAUGCUGUGUACCCGCGGCUAGACGGAAAGACCCCGUGAACCUUUACUACAGCUUUACAUUGAACUUUGACCUAACUUGUGUAGGAUAGGUGGGAGGCUUUGAAGUAGGGACGCCAGUUCCUAUGGAGCCAACCUUGAAAUACCACCCUGGUUAUGUUGGGGUUCUAACUUAGAUAUAACAGUAUCAAGGACAAUGUAUGGUGGGUAGUUUGACUGGGGCGGUCUCCUCCUAAAGAGUAACGGAGGAGUACGAAGGUGCGCUCAGGACGGUCGGAAAUCGUCCAAAGAGUAUAAAGGCAAAAGCGCGCUUAACUGCGAGACCCACAAGUCGAGCAGGUACGAAAGUAGGUCUUAGUGAUCCGGUGGUUCUGUAUGGAAGGGCCAUCGCUCAACGGAUAAAAGGUACUCUGGGGAUAACAGGCUGAUACCGCCCAAGAGUUCAUAUCGACGGCGGUGUUUGGCACCUCGAUGUCGGCUCAUCUCAUCCUGGGGCUGAAGCAGGUCCCAAGGGUAUGGCUGUUCGCCAUUUAAAGAGGUACGCGAGCUGGGUUUAGAACGUCGUGAGACAGUUCGGUCCCUAUCUACCGUGGGCGUUGGAAAUUUGAGAGGAUCUGCUCCUAGUACGAGAGGACCAGAGUGGACGAACCUCUGGUGUUCCGGUUGUGACGCCAGUCGCAUUGCCGGGUAGCUAUGUUCGGAUCGGAUAACCGCUGAAAGCAUCUAAGCGGGAAGCCGACCUCAAGAUUAGAUUUCCCUAAAGAGCCGUUGU